This 384-nucleotide ribosomal RNA is filed under the name uncultured bacterium. RNAcentral describes it as "bacterial SSU rRNA". It matches the Rfam family "Bacterial small subunit ribosomal RNA", at positions 29 to 414 of the family's 1533-position model. The record is from RNAcentral.
AUUGAACGCUGGCGGCAUGCCUUACACAUGCAAGUCGAACGGCAGCACGGGAGCAAUCCUGGUGGCGAGUGGCGAACGGGUGAGUAAUACAUCGGAACGUGCCCAGUAGUGGGGGAUAACCCGGCGAAAGCCGGACUAAUACCGCAUACGACCUACGGGUGAAAGCAGGGGAUCGCAAGACCUUGCGCUAUCGGAGCGGCCGAUGUCAGAUUAGCUUGUUGGCGGGGUAAAAGCCCACCAAGGCGACGAUCUGUAGCUGGUCUGAGAGGACGACCAGCCACACUGGGACUGAGACACGGCCCAGACUCCUACGGGAGGCAGCAGUGGGGAAUUUUGGACAAUGGGCGCAAGCCUGAUCCAGCCAUGCCGCGUGCGGGAAGAAGG